UGGGGAAUUUUGGACAAUGGGCGAAAGCCUGAUCCAGCAAUGCCGCGUGUGUGAAGAAGGCCUUCGGGUUGUAAAGCACUUUUGUCCGGAAAGAAAUCCUUGGCUCUAAUACAGUCGGGGGAUGACGGUACCGGAAGAAUAAGCACCGGCUAACUACGUGCCAGCAGCCGCGGUAAUACGUAGGGUGCAAGCGUUAAUCGGAAUUACUGGGCGUAAAGCGUGCGCAGGCGGUUUGCUAAGACCGAUGUGAAAUCCCCGGGCUCAACCUGGGAACUGCAUUGGUGACUGGCAGGCUAGAGUAUGGCAGAGGGGGGUAGAAUUCCACGUGUAGCAGUGAAAUGCGUAGAGAUGUGGAGGAAUACCGAUGGCGAAGGCAGCCCCCUGGGCCAAUACUGACGCUCAUGCACGAAAGCGUGGGGGAGCAAACAGGAUUAGAUACCCCUGGUAGUCCACGCCCUAAACGAUGUCAACUAGUUGUUGGGGGAUUCAUUUCCUUAGUAACGUAGCUAACGCGUGAAGUUGACCGCCUGGGGAGUACGGUCGCAAGAUUAAAACUCAAAUGGAAUUGACGGGGUCAUAGCUGUUUCCU
RNAcentral lists this ribosomal RNA (589 nucleotides) under uncultured bacterium. RNAcentral describes it as "partial 16S ribosomal RNA". It matches the Rfam family "Bacterial small subunit ribosomal RNA", at positions 355 to 1375 of the family's 1533-position model. The record is from RNAcentral.